Molecule: transfer RNA, 70 nt
Filed under: Gemmatimonadota bacterium
Lineage: Bacteria; Pseudomonadati; Gemmatimonadota
Description: Gemmatimonadetes bacterium (soil metagenome) tRNA-Glu
Rfam family: tRNA
About the family: Transfer RNA (tRNA) molecules are approximately 80 nucleotides in length. Their secondary structure includes four short double-helical elements and three loops (D, anti-codon, and T loops).
Source: RNAcentral
AGCCAGGCCGCUUCUCUCGGCCCCUUCCCUUUCAAGGAAGAGGUCAUGGGUUCGAAUCCCAUCCGGGCUA